UCCGGCUUAUCACCGGCAGUUUCUUCAGAGUGCUCAGCUUAACCUGUUAGCAACAGAAGACGAGGGUUGCGCUCGUUGCGGGACUUAACCCAACAUCUCACGACACGAGCUGACGACAGCCAUGCAGCACCUGUGCAUCUCCCAGCCGAACUGAAGGAUCGCCUUUCAGCAAUCCAUAGAGAGCAUGUCAAAUCCUGGUAAGGUUCUUCGCGUUGCCUCGAAUUAAACCACAUGUUCCACCGCUUGUGCGGGUCCCCGUCAAUUUCUUUGAGUUUUAAUCUUGCGACCGUACUCCCCAGGCGGGGUGCUUAACGCGUUAGCUACGCCACUGAGAGGUAACCCCCCAACGGCUAGCACCCAUCGUUUACAGCGUGGACUAC
RNAcentral lists this unclassified non-coding RNA (380 nucleotides) under uncultured Rickettsiales bacterium. RNAcentral's name for it is "contains 16S-23S intergenic spacer region". The record is from RNAcentral. Lineage: Bacteria; Pseudomonadati; Pseudomonadota; Alphaproteobacteria; Rickettsiales.